Molecule: ribosomal RNA, 429 nt
Filed under: uncultured bacterium
Lineage: Bacteria
Description: bacterial SSU rRNA
Rfam family: Bacterial small subunit ribosomal RNA
Source: RNAcentral
ACUCCUACGGGAGGCAGCAGUGGGGAAUAUUGCACAAUGGGCGCAAGCCUGAUGCAGCCAUGCCGCGUGUGUGAAGAAGGCCUUCGGGUUGUAAAGUACUUUCAGCAGUGAGGAAGGCGGGUACGUUAAUAGCGUGCUUGUUUGACGUUAGCUGCAGAAGAAGCACCGGCUAACUCCGUGCCAGCAGCCGCGGUAAUACGGAGGGUGCGAGCGUUAAUCGGAAUUACUGGGCGUAAAGCGCAUGCAGGUGGUUUGUUAAGUCAGAUGUGAAAGCCCGGGGCUCAACCUCGGAAUUGCAUUUGAAACUGGCAGACUAGAGUACUGUAGAGGGGGGUAGAAUUUCAGGUGUAGCGGUGAAAUGCGUAGAGAUCUGAAGGAAUACCGGUGGCGAAGGCGGCCCCCCUGGACAGAUACUGACACUCAGAUGCG